This 536-nucleotide ribosomal RNA is filed under the name uncultured bacterium. RNAcentral's name for it is "bacterial SSU rRNA". It matches the Rfam family "Bacterial small subunit ribosomal RNA", at positions 777 to 1314 of the family's 1533-position model. The record is from RNAcentral.
AAUAGAUACCCGGGUAGUCCACGCCGUAAACGAUGAGUGCUAAGUGUUAGGGGUUUCCGCCCCUUAGUGCUGCAGCUAACGCAUUAAGCACUCCGCCUGGGGAGUACGGCCGCAAGGCUGAAACUCAAAGGAAUUGACGGGGGCCCGCACAAGCGGUGGAGCAUGUGGUUUAAUUCGAAGCAACGCGAAGAACCUUACCAGGUCUUGACAUCUCCUGACCGCCCUGGAGACAGGGUCUUCCCUUCGGGGACAGGAUGACAGGUGGUGCAUGGUUGUCGUCAGCUCGUGUCGUGAGAUGUUGGGUUAAGUCCCGCAACGAGCGCAACCCUUGUCCUUAGUUGCCAGCAUUCAGUUGGGCACCCUAAGGAGACUGCCGGCUAAAAGUCGGAGGAAGGUGGGGAUGACGUCAAAUCAUCAUGCCCCUUAUGACCUGGGCUACACACGUGCUACAAUGGGCGGUACAGAGGGUUGCGAACCCGCGAGGGGGAGCCAAUCCCAAAAAGCCGCUCUCAGUUCGGAUUGCAGGCUGCAACUCG